RNAcentral lists this ribosomal RNA (465 nucleotides) under uncultured bacterium. RNAcentral's name for it is "partial 16S ribosomal RNA". It matches the Rfam family "Bacterial small subunit ribosomal RNA", at positions 28 to 507 of the family's 1533-position model. The record is from RNAcentral.
GACGAACGCUGGCGGCGUGCUUAACACAUGCAAGUCGAACGGAAAGGCCCUGCUUGCAGGGUACUCGAGUGGCGAACGGGUGAGUAACACGUGGGUGAUCUGCCCUGCACUUCGGGAUAAGCCUGGGAAACGGGGUCUAAUACCGGAUAGGAGCCAUUUUUAGUGUGAUGGUUGGAAAGUUUUUUCGGUGUAGGAUGAGCUCGCGGCCUAUCAGCUUGUUGGUGGGGUAAUGGCCUACCAAGGCGGCGACGGGUAGCCGGCCUGAGAGGGUGGACGGCCACAUUGGGACUGAGAUAAGGCCCAGACGCCUACGGGAGGCAGCAGUGGGGAAUAUUGAACAAUGGGCGCAAGCCGGAUGCAGCGACGCCGCGUGGGGGAUGACGUCCUUAGGGUUGUAAACUCCUUUCGCUAGGGACGAAGCUUUUUGUGACGGUACCUAGAUAAGAAGCACCGGCUAACUACGUG